This 12023-nucleotide unclassified non-coding RNA is filed under the name Leishmania donovani. RNAcentral describes it as "gene:LdHU3.08.0700(CDS-product:hypothetical_prote in_conserved)". Lineage: Eukaryota; Euglenozoa; Kinetoplastea; Trypanosomatida; Trypanosomatidae. The record is from RNAcentral.
CACCCCAUCCUCUUUACCACCUCGCUUACUCGUGGGGCGCGCCCUUCUUGCCGGUCUUCUUCACCGCGGUCUCCCCGAACUCUAUUCAUCUAUAUAUAUAUAUAUAUAUAUUCAUCUCCCCUUCCCCGCUUCGACAUCUCCGCUUUUCGUUUUCCUUGGUGGCGGCAGUGGUGGGUGUGUGGCGUUCGUAGGAACAUCUGCAGCCAAAACAAAGGAAGGCGGGGCGGCGGGAAGGAGGCGCACACCACAUGCACGUGCGUGUUGUUGGCACUUGCAGCUUCGCCUUGUCAUUCACCUUUUCCUUUCCUUGUGUGCCCGCCUGUGCGGCUCUUUGGUGUUGCUUGAGGGGAGAGGAGGGAGGAGCUCGCCCUCUUCUCUUCUGCCGUGGGCAUCCACAGAAAGCAAACAACAGGAUAGCGAGAAGACGGGGCACGGCGAGACAUUGGAAACACAGAGGAACGGGAAGAGAGCACACGAGAUAGAACGGCGGAAGACGAGACGCGAGAUUGAAACACACAAGAACACAGCAAGGGUCGAGGUAGGGGCGAGUCAGCUAUCCAGCACAUGUGUAGUUGUUGUGCGUGUGUGCGAGGAGAAAGAAGCUAAGCAGCAACAGGUGCCGGUUUUUGUUUUUGGAGGGAAUCCUUCCCACACCCACAUCCCGACCCCCACACACACCCUCCCGAGUGUGCACAGCGACACUGGCUCCGCGAUAUACUGUUCACUGCAUUGCCAGAGAAGUAAAAAGUUGUUGUGUAGCGUUGUGUGUGUGUGUGUGUGUGCUUGUGGCUCAUUUUUUGUUUUGGCGGAAAGAGCCCCUCCCUAAGCCCUGCAUGCUUGGAGAGGCACUGGCACCACCACCACCACCACCACACCCGUGAGCCCCUUCCACCCACUCACCGCCUCUCGUGUGUGUUUUGUGCUUGCUUGCGAAAGGGGCCGUCGAGCCCUCCAUCAGCCAUCAGAAAGUUUUCUUUUCUUGCUAACCACUCUGUGGCGGAGCACACAGUGAAGCAGACAGACCAACAGAAAGAAGGUAACGCCCCGCUGCGCGGACGAGCUGUGCAGUUAUCGAGACGUAAACGAAAGCGAAAAGGAGCGAGACAGACAGAGAACGAGGCGGUGCGUGCACGCAAGGGGGGAGGGAUACCGCACCGGGUGCAUCUGCCCAGCUCACUCACCCGAAAAAAAGGAAAAAGGGGAGGGGGCGCGCGUGAAACAACAGAGACACGCUCUCGUGCUUGCUCGCCCCUCCGUCUUCUUCUCCGGUUCUCAUUUUGGUGUUCGUGAAUUUUAUUUUAUUAUUUUUUAUUCGCUUGGACUUUGUUGCGCCAAGGACGCCCGCCUUGUGGAGUUAGCGCGAAACAGAAGGGAACGCGAGAGGCGUAGUCGUGUCAUCAGAGGCCCUCGGUGUGUGUGCGUGUGCGUGUUCAUGCUGGCGCGUGUAGCUGCUCUUGUACAUAUUUUUUUUUGUUCGAGGAAGAGAGUUUCCCAAUCGUGAUUCCUCGUGCCGUGUGGGCGGCAUCAGCGUCGUCGCUUUCUUUGGCGUCCCGUGCGUGUGCGUGUGAUCGUAGCGGCAAGAGAGCGGUCGAGCCGUGGGUUGUGCGGGGCGCAUUGUGUGGCCCCCGCCCCCCAAGCCAUCGUGUUUGGUUUUCCUUAUUUUUUGUAUAGUGUUCACCCUCCGGCUCCCUUCUUCGUGCCGACCUCAGCGCACGCAGACACACACACACACGCACGCACACACACACACACACACACACAUACACGCCUUGUUGUUAUUUCUUCGUCGUCGUCGUCUCUUUCACCGUCCUUGGAACGCUCGAACGUCGCCGCCUGCAAGGUCGCUCAUCCACGAUGGGGAUCCUUCCCAGCCGCGAGAGUCACGAGUACCCCGGCGCCUUCCACUUCGCGCUGAGCGGCAGUCACGCCAUGGCGAUUCUACCACUGACUGAGCACUUCUUUCCUUCGGUCGACUCACUCGCCUUCCGGCAGCUCUAUGCGGGCCGCGACAUGCAAUCUGCCAAGUACAACUUCUCCCUCAUAUCGCCUGAACUCCUGCGCAAGUACCGGCACCGCUCCAUGGAGCAGAGGCGCGGGAAAGGGGGGGUGGGGGAUGAGGCGAUGGCGCCACCGGCGGGCCGCAGUAAGCCGCAGCCGUAUCUUCGACAUGGCCAGCCGCCUGGUGACGACAGUGACGCAGAUGAGAAGUGGGUCGGUGUUGACACGAUCGACGCGAGCAACUACGGACAGUUCUUCAAGGACGACACGCAGUGCGUGUCGCCGAAUGACCCGACGUCGCUGUCCCCGGAUGGUGACGAGGAGGUCUGCGAGGAGCUGCAAUGGCCAAACCCAGUGGCGCACUGGCGCACCCACGACACAGCCAAGCAGCUCAUCCAGGACAAGGACAACGAGCUGGGCUUCACCGAUGAGCUCAAUUAUGUGAGCUUAGAUGGAAAGGGAGGGGGUCUGCGCUGCCUGCCAUCGUCGCUGUCGCUGCCGUGCUCCUCCGGCCAGUGUCCGCGGUACGGGCAGACGCACAACGCCUCCAUGGAGGCAGGGACUGACAGCACGGCGGCGACGGCGCACUUAACUGCCGAGGAGCGCGACUUGGUGAAUCGGUUCUUCGCACGCAGUCCGGAGGCGCUGUACAACGCGCUCGUCGUGGAGCCGAACAAAGGUUUUCUCGUUGACACAAACAAAGAGAUGUGCCACUUGUACGCAGCGGAGCAGCGCUGGAAGGAAGCACGUAACGUUGUGCGCGCCUACCGGCGCCAGUGCAAGCAAGAUGCCGCUGCCGAGGGCGCGCCCCAGCCGGUGGCUGGCGAGUCCCCCAACUCACCAAAGGGCCAGCCACAGCGGCGCAUUACGAAGGAGGAGGCUGAGAGGGCGGCCACGGUUCCGCCACCACCGGUAUUUCUGCGACCGGUGCCUCAAGUGAUUAUGGUUCGCAUGAGCCGUGAAGAAGAGGAGGCGACGCGCGCGGCGUACCUCGCAGAGCAACAGCGGUUGCGUAGUCGCUCGGGGCAGCCGCAACAAAGCCAAUCCGGCGGCGGCGAUGACGCUGCUGCCUCGAUGUCGUCCUCCCCCGCUGCGGCAGGCGCCGCCGAGGGAAGUAACGUCCUCCGCCCACCCUUGAUAAAGCCCGUCUCUCACCUGCACGUGCCGACGACGCGCUAUCACCGCUUCGAGGACGACCCCAAGUACAAGGACGGCCGCAUCCACCUCGUCGAGGAGGAUGGCGUGCUGUACAUGUUCGCCUACAACACCGCCUACGUCGACCCGCGUCUGCGCAUGAGGCAGCAGAGAGAGGAGCUGCUGAAGCAGCAGCGCCAAGGAAAGGAGCGCAAACAGCAUGAAAGCCAGGAGGAAAGCUUGGAGCGCGGCGAAGCCUGCCGGUCACCUUCCAGCGCGGGGGCUGUAGUCGCUGGCACCACUGCUGAAGGGACCGCCAGUGGAACCGCAGCAGGCUCACCAGGGAGCUGUAGCACAGAGCGUAACGCCGCUGCCACACCGAUGCCGGACAGCGGCAGCGGUAGCGGCGACGGCGACGGCGACGGCGCGCUGUUUCACGGGAACCGGCAGACCUCAUCCUUCUACCACACGGUCUCCGCCUUCGGUAACGAGGAGGACGAGGCGGGCCUCGAAGAACACGGAGCCCAGUCCAAAAAGGUCAAGGAUGCCAGCCCUAGGCGCGCGAGCUCCACGGAGGGCUCUCCAGUCGCGGCGGGGACGAUCCCCGCGGUCGCUGCGAAGCAGACGGAGAGCACCGCGGAGGAGGCGGACGCAGAGGAAGACGCAACGCUGUCGUCCGCCUGUAACGGACCAGGAGGGCACCAGCGGCGGCAGAGCGCCAUCCUGGUCGACGACAGCGCGUUGCUGCAGCGCUCCGACGGAAAGCCGAGCACCUCCAGCGACGACGAAGACGACGACGACGGUGACGAACAGCGCAAGGGCGCGUCAGUCUCGGCGUGCAGCGCCGGCGUGACCGCGACCACCGUCAAUGGGGCGACGUCAGCGGCAAUGAAGGAGAAGCGGGCGCGCGUGGUGCAGCAGCUGGAGCUUGUCACGGCUGCCCCUUUCAUCCUCCCCAUUUGCCCGGUGCGCAUUGUCGGCUGCAACGGCUACGCCGAGUCUAGCUGCCGCGGUACGCCGUGGCUGCGCGGCUACGAGGACGAACCCGAGGAGGACGCCUACGUGGAGUCGCUGCCGGUGAAGCCGCCGAUCAUGUCCGGUGGUGGUUUCAUCGACGCCAACAUCGGUGACAAAAUUCUUAGUCGCGCCUACCUGCUGGGCUUCCAGGUGUACCGGAACGUCUGCCUCGACGCCGGGCUGCCGAAGACGCUGACGCGGCCUUUCUGGACGCUGGGCUUGCUGUCGAACAUUCCGCUGCUGCAAAUCUCGCGUGAGAUGCGCUUCCGCAUGCGGGCGGCUGCCGCGGAGGUGGAGCUCGGCUACCGAGGCCUGCGCGACAUGAUCAAGGGCACGGAAAACGACCUUCAGUCCUACAUCUACGGCUUUUCGGACAUCCUGCCAUACCUCCAGCGGGCCGCGCGCGCGCGUGUCGAGCUGGCAGAAGCGGAAGCGAAAGCAGCCGCCGCCGCAGAGGGCGGUGGCGGUGGCGGCGCUAGCGACGGGGCGGCAAGCUCGUCGUUGCUCCCCGUUGGGCAUGGCGCCUCGAAAACACCGGAGGAAGAGGCCCAAGAGAGCCAGAGCCUGCAGGUCCCGCCUGCCAUCCCGACCCGGUCCUCGCAAGCAGCCCUGCAGCACAGCCUGCUCUUCCCACUCAACGAGAUGGAGUUCUACACGCAGUUCACGAUCCGCGGCAACCAGUCCCUCUCCCGCGUCCGCUGCGAGGCGCAGGAAUCGUUCUUUCACCUGAUCGCCGAGGCGACCGCCCCGGUGUCGACGUCGCUCUUUAUGAAGCCGCUGGAGCUGCCCACGUACGACUACGGUGGCGCCAUCCGGCUGCACCUCCUGUGCAACCGCGUGACGUGCGCGGACGAGCUGCAGGUGCUGCCGCCGCCGCGCAAUCUCGACCAGCUCCUCUCCGAUCAUCGACGGCGACUGCAGCUGCGGCGUCAGCCCCCCGCGUCGGCGGACGGCAACGCGGCGCCGCCCUAUCUCGUUUAUGCGGUCGUGCACCCAUCUGGCAAGGCGCGAGGGCCCUCGUUGGAGCACUACAAGAGAAAUCUGCAGGCCCCCGAAGACGGUGCCGACGCGAACACGCUGGACGAGGCGGAGGCAGCCGCGGCUUCCACCGACGGCACCGACGGCGACGGACGGUACGCGGCGCACCAGUACACAUACCCGCCGGGCUCCUUUGUUGACAGCGACAUGGUCAUCUACAAUGUCCACAAGGGCCGCUGGGAGCACUUCGAGUACUUCCAUCACCAGCAGCUGGCGCAGCGGCGCGCGCGCAAACUUCAGGCGCAGGCGGAGAAGGCGGCGGGUGAGCCAGACGGCAACAAGACGCCGGCGCAGAGCAACAAGGGCACCGCCUCUGCCGCUGCGGCGACGCAGGCUGCCGAGAGCGGCGAGGCCUUUCGAGGCGCCUUGGUCCCGACCAGAGGCGGCGGCUUCGAUGCCAAUGAUGACGACGAUGAGCAGGAUAUCCACCUCGAGGACAUUCUGCUCUGCUGGAUCAAGCGCCGCCUGCAGAGCGCCACGAUGCGCAACCGCACUGACCCGGGGUGGCUGCGCGACAGCGAGGGGCACAUUGUGCAGGAGGGCCGCUACUACAUCUGGGGCUUCGAGCAAGACGGCCAGCAGUAUUUCUACGGUCUGAUCCCAAAGUUCGCCAAGGAAAAGAAGAACAAGCGGCACAGCACGGCUGGUGGCAACGCGCACAAUCAACAUAAUCAGGACAGCCACACCCGCCGCAUCACCGCGCACGGCAGCGUGUGCGGGUCGUCGAGUGCUUUGAACAGUCAUAGCCGACCUCAGAUCGGCGGCGGCGGCAGCAGCAGCGUCAGCGCUCGUGACCGCCACGGCACACUACCCGAAACCCUCACUCCUGCCUCGCAGCAGGGCCCCGUCAGCGGCUCGAUAAACGGGCAGCCGACUGAUGGGCGCGGUGGUGGCAGGAUGGAGAAAACGGAGGUGCGGGCCGGACCGGCGUCCGCUGACGAAAGCGCCAAAAAACACGCGGCGAUGGCAGCGGCGCCGUCCGUGUCGCUGAGCGACGUCAAGGGUGAUGCUGGCAGCGGACUUCGAACACGCACUGACGCGCCGCUGAGCGCCGCCUGCCCAGACUCGCAUUCGAGGCGACAGCACCAGCAGCAGCACCCGCGAUCACCCGGUGCUGUGGGCGGGGGCGCUGGACGCGGGACUGCCUCGUCUGGCAGCGCUGCAGCAAGCUCCAGCACGGCAGGCGCGAACCGCUUGAGCAACCCGAGCAACGCCACCAGUGGUGCUCGCCUACCCGCACAGGCAAGCGGCGCACCCCGCACUGGCGCUAGUGAGAAGUCAUCGCCGCCUACGUCGUCGUCCCCUGCGGCAGCCUCGGCGUCUUCGUCCACCUCAUCCCCUGUCGCAACGUCAGCGGUACCUCCAGCCUUCGCCUACAACACUCCAGGUGUCGCCAGCCGACGCACUGCAGGUUCCCGCGGAGCCGCGUCACCACCACCAUCGGCGCCCACAGCGUUGGUGACUCCUAGGGAAUCGGAGGCAGCGCUAGCCGGAAGAUCAGGCGCGGCCGCAGUAGGACGCGGCGGCGCAUCCCGUGCCGGCACUUCCCUAGCAGAAUCGCCGCCGUCGUCCGUGGUCGUUGGAGGAGCUGCAGCCGAGGCAGCCGCAUCGUCCUCCAACCCCCGCAAACUUCCGCAACGCCAAGACGGUGUGAGCCGCAUCAGCGGCCGAGGCAAUUUCUCGCGUGAGCAGCAGUUCAGCAGCUCGGCUACUACCACGGCGCAAUUCAGCCGCCAGUCCGCCACUGCACCGGCCGCGGCGUCUUACACGUCUGCCGAGGAGGUCGGGUACCGUCAAGGACGCGGAGAGCGGCGAGGCAACGGAGCAGAGUCGGCGUAUGCGUCCCCACAGUCACAGCAGCGCGAACCUCGCUCUGCGAACGCGUCUCCGCCUCCGCCCCCGCCGCCGCCGCCGCCCCCUGCUGCCCGUCCGUACCCUCCGCACAUCCCACAACAACACCCGGAGGUGCACUCAGCCAGGCACCCUUUGUCGGGAGGCUCCUCCCUCGCCUCCGCGAACCCUGUAUCGCAGCAGCAGCAGCAGCAGCAACAAGGUUGUCGCAUCAGCGACCCCGGCGCAGUGGUCUUGGGAUGUAAAGGAGCUCCGCAGAACCGCUACCAUGCGCCGCCGCACCAGCCGCCGCCGCCGCCGCUCCAGCACGAGUACAUGCAAGCGCCAUCAUCAGCAGCGUACGACAACAGCACCAAUGCCACCAACUACGGUGGCGGCAGUGGUGUGAACAGGUACGCUGCGACGUCACACGCAUCGGGUCACGGCUACUCGGACAUGCCCCCUCCUCCUCCUCCUCCCCAGUCACCGCCACCGCCGCCGCUUCUCCCUGCCGGCGCGGAGAGCGCGGCGUAUGAGCAGUCACACCAAGGCUACCCUGCUCCUGUAGAGCAGCAGCACCACCAGCAUCCGCAGCAGCAGCAGCAGCCCUCCGACUCCCCACCACCGCCACUACACCUCCAUCCACCCACCGCGUAUAUGAACACUGGUGCCGCGCAGGCAAACCAGCGUCCUACGUUGGUGCUCGCCGGGCCGCGAGUGCCUUCUCCUCGUCACGCUCAGCAGCAGCAGCAGCAGCAGUAUGUCUCGUACAACACAAGGCCCCACCAGCCGCAGCAGCACGUGUCUCACCAGCCGUCCUAUAAAACGCAGCCGGCUAUGGCAAACGUCGUCAGCGGUGCCAGGAUGCAGCCGCCGGAAAUGGUGCCUGGCCCCUACCACCACCACACCCAGCAGAUGAUGAUGGCCAUGUCCGCGCCGAACGCUGGCCCCGCUGCCCCGCCGCCGGCGCAGGCCAACGCCGCCAUGAACACAAGUUCCUCCCGCUAUGCGCCGCACCCUCGGAUGGUGGCCAGUGGCGCCGGAGCGGCGCCGAUGCAGGAGCAGCAGCAACUGGCGUCGGUGACGGCCGUCUCAGUUGCACCUCCCUCUGCGCUGACUGGGGGCAACAGCAUGUACUCGGACGUGUCGGCUGCCUCCGUGGCGCCGUCAGGUUCGCGGCCCACGUCUUAUUACCCCACGAGUCCCUCGCAGGUGUCUUACGGCACGUCGUCACAGACGGCGACAUCCGCCAUGCACCCUGCAGGACCGCAGGGCAGCGCUGCGUCUCCUCAUACUGGCUCCGGCCCUCCGGUGCUGCCGCCGCUAAAGCAGCAGCAGCAGCGGCAGCCAGAGUACCCUCCAUCAGCGAUGAUGGAUGCCAGCACAGCAGGUGGGCAAGGAAGUGUCGCCAGCCAGUGCUAUCUGCAGCACAAGAAGCCGCAAUCGCCUCCGAGCGGCCCAGCGUCGGCCCCCCCAGGAGGCGCGCACUACUGCCAGAUGACGUCACCCACUUCACAGCAGCAUGCCUAUCAGCAGCAGAUGGGGACACGCAACGCCAGCUAUGAUGGAGGAAGCAGUGGUCAUAAUUACGGCACCUACGCCGCGUCCACCGCCAAUCCGAACGCCAACAGCAGCUUCAGCCGCGUGGGGCUCUCACUGUCGGCGUCGGCAGCGACGGUGAAAGCGGUUACGGGCGUCUCUGGAACCUCAACGCUCAUGAGCAAUGCCUCGGCGUCUCUGCCGUCUACCGGCAGUGGUAUAGGGCGAGGCGCGCAGGGCUACGCGCCGCAACCGUCAGGGUACCCUACGAGCGGCGGCACUAGUUUCACUGCGGCCCCGGUGGUGGCAAUGGCGGCAGGAGCGACCGCACCGACAUCAUCCAUGAUGCCUGGCGCGGAAGGCGGCGCAGUCAAAGCCUUCCCCCCGUACCAGGCCUCGCCGCAUCCACAGCAACAACAGCACCAACAGCCAUCACCCCAGCAGCAUCAACAGCAGCAGCAGCAGCAGCAAACGAGCGUCGGUGGCAGGGCCGCAGGAGCUCCCUCACCGGCCCCACACCAGUAUCGCACCACACCCACUGCCGAGCAGCAGCAGCAGCAGCGGGAUUCGAGGUAUCCACUUCAGGUAAUGGCGCAGUCGUAUAGCAACGAUUACAACGGCAACGGCGGCGUGCCGGCAAUGGCAGCUGGCGGGAGGGCUUCGAGAGGUGUGGCGGUGGCCAGUGAUGGUUUGGACAGCAGUAGCUACGAUGACGCCGUGAUGCACGGCAGCCGAGGCACUCAAGCGGCAGCUAGUGAAUACCAGCUGUCAUACCAGCAGCAGUAUCAGCAGCCGUAUCCGCAAUGGCAGCAGCAGCACUCCACAUCAGCCUCCUCCCAGCCAUCGUCGUGCACGCCUACGCCGCUUCCUGUUCAGCAGCAGUAUCAGCAGCAGUAUGGGGCACAGGCAGGUAACGGCAGCGACAACAACGGCAGUAGAGGCCACACCCAUACGCAAGCGAGCCGCGCCGGUGCCACGGGCAACGGGAACGCCCCCUCAGCGUACGCGCACGAGCAGCGAGCAUCACCGUACCCGCAGCACGCGGGGGCGCCGCCCGCGUCUCCGGCAGCAGCUGCUGGCGUUAGUAGUGAUCGCGGUGCAGCAGCCGUUGUGACAUCACCGGCUGCAGUCGCGCACAUGUCUACUCCCAUGCAGAGUGCCAACUCGUUCAACAGCAACGUCGCCGCCAUGACGUCUGCCGGCUCUUGUGAAUCCACGCAGGCGUCAUCCGCUGCGGCGCAGCUGCAGCGUAACAGUGACAGCUACGGGUACCGUUCCUCACAGUCUGGACCCACCUCGCCGUACUUACAGGCGUCACCGCAGCAGCAACAGGAGCAGCAAGAACCUCAGCGCUAUCUGCAGCAGAACCAGUACCCCCAGCAGCAACACCAACUACAGCAGCGGCAGCGCUCUGCUACUCGGGCCACCGCCGCAGCUGGCCCUUUCCCCUGUGGCGCAGGUGGUGGUCUUCAACCAAAGACGAUGAUGAGCGCUGGUGGGGCCCCAUCCGCGUCCGUCAAUCAUGCAUACACGCUUCACCACCACCACCACCAGCAGCAGCAGCAGCAGCAGCAGCAAAGAAUCACUCAUUCGUCCCCUGCGCCGGGCGGGUACUACCAAAACCAAGUUCUAGCGCAUCCACAGCAACAGCAGCAGCCGUCCGUAGCAUUGCAGCGGCUAGCCGCGACACCGAACGCCAGCGGCACGCUGCUCCGCGCCUCGCCGGGGUCGCAGCAGCGCCACAACCAGCAGUAUCAACGACAGCAGCAGCAGAAGCCAGCGUCUCCGUACGCCUCUACGAAGGAAGAAGCGGAAAGGCAGAUGCGUAGGAGCGGCAACUACAACAAUCACAGCGUGCACAACAGCAACGUGGGCGUCGCGGAGACCUCAUACGACUCGAACAGCAACAACACGGCGGCCCAGCGCUUCGCACACAACCCCUACGCGAUGCAGUAGCGGGAACAAACACCAAAAAGAAAUGAAGAAACCUACUUCGAAAAAAAAAAGCAGCUUCGUGUCGAGGAGCGGAGCGUCUGGCGGAUGUGCUGGAGAGGAGUUAGGUGACGCAGCUGCCUGGCGGGCGACGCCCCAUACGCAUGCACGGUGUCGACACACCUACAUAACGAUGCUGCGUCCGGCACCCCUCCACACACACGCACACACAUCUCUCACACCUGCCAUUCUUCUUUUAUUUUUUGCCUUUUUUUUUCGUUUUUUUCUCUGUGUGUGAUUGCUAUUAUUAGUGUCGCUUUCGCUGUGGCUGCCCCCACCCACCCUCCGCCUCCCACCCUAACCCCCCCCUCUCCAAGUCUGCCCGGUACUUUCUGUUAGGGUACGGCGGGUAUGUGGGCGCUUACCAUAUAUAUAUAUAUAUAUUUGUGUGUGUCUGUGUAUGUGUGCUGUUCUUACGUGGAUGUCUAUGGAGAGUUUAUAAAAGGUUUGUUUUCGCGACCGCGUGCUCUGCUGUUGUUGCUGUUGAUAUCGCGGCUGUGUGGUGGCUUCUCUCUCGGGUUGCCUGAUUUUAUUUUCUUUUUCCGGGGGAGGGGGGAGGUCGCUCUCUGGGUCGGUGUGGAAAGGCGAGGAGGUGGAUGGGUGGCAAAGGGCGGUGUCGCAACCGCUCGCGUUUCCUUCCUCCGCUCUUCGUUGUUUUGCUUGUGGUUGUGAUUUGACUGGAAAGCAGGGCUAUUCGGGGUCGUCCCGAAGUGUGGCCUCUCUCUUUCACACACACACACACACACACACACGCGUAGGCGCACACGCCUACGUAAAGCCGCAAGCGAAGAGAGAGAGGGGAAGACGCAUCUUCUCUGUACGUCAGGACGGGCGGCAGCGGCGGCGGCGACGUGAAGACGCCCGUGCAUCUCGUCGUAUGUGUUUUUGGAUGUGCAUUCGUGUUACCCGCUCCCGCUCUACUGCACGCCCUCUUAUCAUAGCGUGCGCAUGGUUCCUUCUUGUGUCUGUGUCUCUGUGUGUGUGUGUGGGGGGGGGGGGGGGCAGGGGGGGUUGGCGUGUGUGUCUGCGUGACGGCUGGUACAGUUGCAUCCUCUUCCUUCGUCGUCUGUCGUCGUCUCUGCAGCAAAGUCAUCCGUGGCAGUGGUUGACGAAAACACAAAAAAUGAGCAGCUGUCGGGCUCCAUCGCAGCAGCCUUAUCGAUGGGGAGGCCUCGUCGAUAGACGCCGUGGUGAUGUAUCAGAGCAGUAGGCGGAAGAUCAAUCCUUUUUUUUUGGCGAGGAGGGGCUGUGGUAGCCCUGGAGCGCUAGCGGAGGGAGAAACAUGAGAAAUGUCGGCGUCUCUCUCUCUCUGCUCUCGCCGUCAUUAAGCCGUAUUCUGUGACGGGCGCACAUACAACACACAGAGAGAAAGAGAGCUACACGCAUGUGUCCUCCUUUUCUUUUUUCCAGUGACUCCUCUGGGUAGAUCUCACAAGGGUUCGCGCGCGCGUUUAUGUGUGUGCAUCUGCUUCUCG